RNAcentral lists this transfer RNA (72 nucleotides) under Camelus bactrianus (Bactrian camel). It matches the Rfam family "tRNA". Rfam says of the family: Transfer RNA (tRNA) molecules are approximately 80 nucleotides in length. Lineage: Eukaryota; Metazoa; Chordata; Mammalia; Artiodactyla; Camelidae. RNAcentral also lists the same sequence under 3 other names. The record is from Rfam by way of RNAcentral.
GAGGGUAUAGCUCAGUGGUAGAGUGCAUGCUUAGCAUGCACAAGGUCCUGGGUUCAAUCCCCAGUACUUCCA